This 617-nucleotide small RNA is filed under the name Drosophila virilis. RNAcentral's name for it is "GJ26206". The record is from RNAcentral. Lineage: Eukaryota; Metazoa; Arthropoda; Insecta; Diptera; Drosophilidae.
UCAACCGUUGAAGUGAACAUAAUCGUACCGAGCUUUUUGAAUUUAAUUAAGCAGUUUAAAGCGCCAGAAAUCCGAGCUCUGGUCUAUAGAAAAAUGUAAUUAUACCAAAUGGUGUAACAUUAACGAAAACGUGCCAUGAAAGGCGUAUUGGGCACUGGAACCCAGGCUCAUUUCUAAGCUGUGUCUUUGUGGCUGAGUUGUAGAGAGUGUGGUCCAAAACGGUAAUGACAACGGGGCAAGGAUCGGGCGACGGGAUAGGCGCUGGGCAAUGGCACGAAACGAACUCUUCGCCAAAGUGCUUUAUAUAUGGUAUUUUGUAUUUGGUUUGGAGUCUGUGGACUGGGGGCGGGAUGGUGUGGCGUGAUAACACCUAAAUUAUUUUUUCAAAGGAUUAAAUUAAAUUCUAUUUGGUUUCGAAAAAACGGAAUAUGCCCAGUGUCUGUGUGUGUGUGUGUGUGUGUGUGAGCGUGUGCGUGAGUGUAUAUGUGUGAGUGCCUAUCUGUGGGGCUGCAUACAGCGCUGAGGCGGGGCGCUGUUCUCUGGCGAUGCUGUUCUGAUACCCUGUACAUUUUAUUUGUCCACAAAGGGGCUUACUAAUUUCCAAUCAUAUAAAAUGU